Molecule: unclassified non-coding RNA, 1041 nt
Filed under: Dendronephthya gigantea
Lineage: Eukaryota; Metazoa; Cnidaria; Anthozoa; Malacalcyonacea; Nephtheidae
Description: uncharacterized LOC114533514, transcript variant X4
Source: RNAcentral
UUUAUUUGUCUCAAAUGAAACACAUUCCAACUAGAAACUCGACCAAGAACGCCGUUAUCAAACUUAUAAAACGUUGGUUGUCAAAAGGUUCGAACUACUACGUGAGCUUGCUGUGUAAAGGAAUGUAUGGUUAUGAAUAUUUAUUGAAAGAAGUUGCUAUGGCUUUGAACACAAAGAUACAUGUGAGUGCAGAGAGGCUGUCGUUGUAUAAGAAUCUACCAGACAUGAUAAAGCAUUUCACGAUCAAAGCAGAAGACACAAGGAUUCAUUGUUGUAAUUGGCAGCAUAUAAGGAAUGUUAAUUCAAAGCUUCCAUGUGGAUAUUCACUACCUGCGCCUGUCAAAGUUAAUGUUAUUAAGAUUAAAGCUACCAGUAUGUUUUUUGCUCGGCGUACUAUCCUUUACCUGGUGAUGGCAUCUUUCAAGUAGAUAAAGAUUUCUUUCGGGUGGUACAUUCCAUGCACGCUUCAAUGGAAGAGAUAAUAGAUUUAGUGAGUUAUCUUCGUCCGUUGAAUGUAUAUCCUACAGUGGAACCAGCUGGAAUUCACUCAUUAAAGGACACCCAAGAAAGCUUGCAACAGUAUACUCGAUGUGAAGUUAAAAUGAACAAGACGAUAAAAAACACCCCGACAUCUCGAGAUGCCGAUGAAGAGAACCCAACUUCAUUCAAAGAACAAAAAUCAUCUGUGUUUUCCGGUGCAUCUCUCUUGCGUUACACCCCAAGCGUUGAAGUAUUAGCAGAAUGUAGACAGUUGGGGCUGGAGAACGAAAAUUUUAUGGGAUUGUCACGUCGAAGAAAACGUAGAAAUAAUCAAUCACCAAACGGGAGAGCAUCCUGUGAAAUAAAGAACGUGUGUACAGACUCCACUGAAGUUCCCCAUGAAAAAUGUCGCAUUGUUGACAGCUAGCGCUUCAAAGAUAAAUUGGAGAACCCCUCUACAUCCUAAACGUAUGGAGGUCGGAUCUUUUUGCACUAUAUUGUGCUUUUUACUGAAAUAUUGUUAUAUAGUAUUAAUAUAUAAAUAACUAUUUUAAAAAUGAU